RNAcentral lists this ribosomal RNA (301 nucleotides) under uncultured bacterium. Its description in RNAcentral is "partial 16S ribosomal RNA". It matches the Rfam family "Bacterial small subunit ribosomal RNA", at positions 509 to 808 of the family's 1533-position model. The record is from RNAcentral.
CAGUAGCGCGGUAAUACAGAGGGUGCGAGCGUUAAUCGGAUUUACUGGGCGUAAAGCGUGCGUAGGCGGCUUUUUAAGUCGGAUGUGAAAUCCCUGAGCUUAACUUAGGAAUUGCAUUCGAUACUGGGAAGCUAGAGUAUGGGAGAGGAUGGUAGAAUUCCAGGUGUAGCGGUGAAAUGCGUAGAGAUCUGGAGGAAUACCGAUGGCGAAGGCAGCCAUCUGGCCUAAUACUGACGCUGAGGUACGAAAGCAUGGGGAGCAAACAGGAUUAGAUACCCCGGUAGUCCCUGUCUCUUAUACA